RNAcentral lists this ribosomal RNA (440 nucleotides) under uncultured bacterium. RNAcentral's name for it is "partial 16S ribosomal RNA". It matches the Rfam family "Bacterial small subunit ribosomal RNA", at positions 338 to 795 of the family's 1533-position model. The record is from RNAcentral.
CCUACGGGUGGCAGCAGUGGGGAAUAUUGGACAAUGGGGGGAACCCUGAUCCAGCGACGCCGCGUGAGUGAAGAAGGAUUUCGGGAUGGAAAGCUCUAUCAGCAGGGAAGAAAAUGACGGUACCUGACUAAGAAGCCCCGGCUAACGAAGUGCCAGCAGCCGCGGUAAUACGGAGGGGGCAAGCGUUAUCCGGAUUUACGGGGGGUAAAGGGAGCGUAGACGGGGCAGCAGGUCUGAUGUGAAAGGUGGGGGCCCCACCCCGGGACUGCCUUGGAAACGGUUGAACUGGAGUACAGGAGAGGUAAGCGGAAUUCCUAGUGUAGCGGUGAAAUGCGUAGAUAUUAGGAGGAACUCCAGUGGCGAAGGCGGCUUACUGGACUGUACCUGACGUUGAGGCUCGCAAGCGUGGGUAGCAAACAGGAUUAGAUACCCGAGUAGUC